Athalia rosae (coleseed sawfly) is the source of this 641-nucleotide long non-coding RNA. RefSeq lists it as uncharacterized. The transcript has 3 exons. Lineage: Eukaryota; Metazoa; Arthropoda; Insecta; Hymenoptera; Athaliidae. The record is from RefSeq and is a predicted model, not a curated record.
UUCAGGUUCUUGUAUCCAAAUUCGAACGUCCAAAUGCCGUGCAGGUUUAAUUUCCGGUUACACCCUUCGGCAGACGUGAUCAUGAGGAGAUUGUCAUGUUGUAUAGCGAAAUUUAUGGAACCAAUCAAGAGAAGGUGGAAAAAAAAAUUCAUUUCCUCAACGUGAAUGGUUUCUCUAUCCGCAGUGACGACUGAGCUAGCGUUUGCAUACGAUACACGCAAAUCGACGAGUUAUUCAUGCAGACGUUGACUGAUUGAAUCCGGUAUGAAAACAAUCGAUUGCAGGGAUUGAACGCGCAAGGAUUAGCGCGCAGGAUGAAUUCAUCAAUGGCCUUCGAAAACCAAUAAAACGAAAUAAUAUUGUUCGAGAAAAUAUCAGAAGCGCAACUCACCCUGGAACUCCUUACGCGCGGCACUGACGGAUGUGACGAUAUUAGCGACGUGACCUAAGACGGUUGCGAAGAGGAGCAGCCCGAAGAGUAAUUGACCAAUGACGAAGAGGGCUUCGAUCAACCGAAAGCUUGAUUCCUUUUGUUACGAGUAUAAUGCUCACCUUGGUAGGUCACCGAUCGUUGUUAACGCUAACGUACACCAGUAGUAACUCUGUAGAUACUGUUUGACAACAUCGGCGGUUUCCGAAUC